This 876-nucleotide ribosomal RNA is filed under the name uncultured Abiotrophia sp. RNAcentral describes it as "bacterial SSU rRNA". It matches the Rfam family "Bacterial small subunit ribosomal RNA", at positions 31 to 883 of the family's 1533-position model. Lineage: Bacteria; Bacillati; Bacillota; Bacilli; Lactobacillales; Aerococcaceae. The record is from RNAcentral.
GAACGCUGGCGGCGUGCCUAAUACAUGCAAGUCGAACGAACCGCGACUGAGUGCUUGCACUUGGUCAAGGUGAGUGGCGAACGGGUGAGUAACACGUGGGUAACCUACCUCAUAGUGGGGGAUAACAGUCGGAAACGACUGCUAAUACCGCAUAGGACAUGGGAUCACAUGAUUCCGUGAGGAAAGGUGGCGCAAGCUAUCGCUAAGAGAUGGACCCGCGGUGCAUUAGCUAGUUGGUAGGGUAACGGCCUACCAAGGCAAUGAUGCAUAGCCGACCUGAGAGGGUGAUCGGCCACAUUGGGACUGAGACACGGCCCAAACUCCUACGGGAGGCAGCAGUAGGGAAUCUUCCGCAAUGGACGCAAGUCUGACGGAGCAACGCCGCGUGAGUGAGGAAGGUCUUCGGAUCGUAAAGCUCUGUUGUUAGAGAAGAACAGCGCAUAGAGUAACUGUUAUGCGUGUGACGGUAUCUAACCAGAAAGCCACGGCUAACUACGUGCCAGCAGCCGCGGUAAUACGUAGGUGGCGAGCGUUGUCCGGAUUUAUUGGGCGUAAAGGGAGUGUAGGCGGUCUUUUAAGUCUGAUGUGAAAGCCCACGGCUCAACCGUGGAGGGUCAUUGGAAACUGGGAGACUUGAGUGCAGAAGAGGAGAGCGGAAUUCCAUGUGUAGCGGUGAAAUGCGUAGAUAUAUGGAGGAACACCAGUGGCGAAGGCGGCUCUCUGGUCUGUAACUGACGCUGAGGCUCGAAAGCGUGGGGAGCAAACAGGAUUAGAUACCCUGGUAGUCCACGCCGUAAACGAUGAGUGCUAAGUGUUGGAGGGGUUCCACCCUUCAGUGCUGGAGUUAACGCAAUAAGCACUCCGCCUGGGGAGUAC